UACGGAGGGUGCGAGCGUUGUCCGGAAUCACUGGGCGUAGAGGGCGCGUAGGCGGCGCGGAAAGUCGUCUGUGAAAGCUCGGGGCUCAACCCUGAGUCUGCCGGUGAUACUCCCGCGCUCGAGCUCACUAGAGGCAGAUGGAAUUCCGGGUGUAGCGGUGGAAUGCGUAGAGAUCCGGAAGAACACCGGUGGCGAAGGCGGUCUGCUGGGGUGAGGCUGACGCUGAUGCGCGACAGCGUGGGGAGCAAACAGG
This 253-nucleotide ribosomal RNA is filed under the name uncultured bacterium. RNAcentral describes it as "partial 16S ribosomal RNA". It matches the Rfam family "Bacterial small subunit ribosomal RNA", at positions 524 to 776 of the family's 1533-position model. The record is from RNAcentral.